RNAcentral lists this ribosomal RNA (292 nucleotides) under uncultured bacterium. RNAcentral's name for it is "partial 16S ribosomal RNA". It matches the Rfam family "Bacterial small subunit ribosomal RNA", at positions 505 to 796 of the family's 1533-position model. The record is from RNAcentral.
GUGUCAGCCGCCGCGGUAAGACGGAGGGUGCGAGCGUUAUUCGGAUUUAUUGGGCGUAAAGAGUGUGUAGGCGGUCGAUCAAGUCUGAUGUGAAAGCCCGGGGCUUAACCUCGGAAGGGCGUUGGAAACUGGUCGACUUGAGUUCGGGAGAGGAAAGCGGAAUUCCGGGUGUAGAGGUGAAAUUCGUAGAUAUCCGGAGGAACACCGGUGGCGAAGGCGGCUUUCUGGACCGAAACUGACGCUGAGACACGAAAGCGUGGGGAGCAAACAGGAUUAGAAACCCCCGUAGUCC